Molecule: small RNA, 125 nt
Filed under: Marmota monax (woodchuck)
Lineage: Eukaryota; Metazoa; Chordata; Mammalia; Rodentia; Sciuridae
Source: RNAcentral
ACCGGGCAUGGUGACACAUGCCUGUAAUCCCAGCAGCUCAGGAGGCUGAGGCAAGAGGAUUGAGAGUUUAAAACCAGCCUCAGCAAAAGUGAGGCACUAAGCAACACAGUGAGAUCCUGUCUCUA